AGAUUGAACGCUGGCGGCAUGCCUAACACAUGCAAGUCGAGCGGCAGCGCGGGGGCGACCCUGGCGGCGAGCGGCGGACGGGUGAGUAAGGCAUCGGAAUCUGCCCUGAUGUGGGGGAUAACGUAGGGAAACUUACGCUAAUACCGCAUAAGCUCUGAGGAGGAAAGCGGGGGACCGAAAGGCCUCGCGCUGAAGGAGCGGCCGAUGUCCGAUUAGCUAGUUGGUGGGGUAACGGCCUACCAAGGCGACGAUCGGUAGCUGGUCUGAGAGGAUGAUCAGCCACACUGGGACUGAGGCACGGCCCAGACUCCUACGGGCGGCAGC
RNAcentral lists this ribosomal RNA (324 nucleotides) under uncultured prokaryote. Its description in RNAcentral is "bacterial SSU rRNA". It matches the Rfam family "Bacterial small subunit ribosomal RNA", at positions 26 to 352 of the family's 1533-position model. The record is from RNAcentral.